Bufo gargarizans (Asiatic toad) is the source of this 277-nucleotide long non-coding RNA. RefSeq lists it as uncharacterized. NCBI's taxonomy places the organism in Eukaryota, Metazoa, Chordata, Amphibia, Anura, Bufonidae. The transcript has 3 exons. The record is from RefSeq and is a predicted model, not a curated record.
CCCUCAUGGCAUGUAGUGUCCAGCGGUGCAGGAGGAGGUCUGUGGCCAGUCACCGCCAUCGUCUGUCAGGUUCCUACAAUAUAGGAUCUGCUCAGUGGAGAUCUUCUAUAUAAGAUCCUUCUCCUGAUUGACCCGUCAAGGAUGGAUAGGAACAGGGACAAGAUGGCGGAGAGUAUGAUAAAUCUCACCCUAGAGAUCCUCUUCUGGCUUACUGGAGAGGACUACAUAGUCGUGAAGAAGACAUCUAGUGAGCGCUGUCAGGACCCUGUGUCUGAAG